GCCAGGCAUGUUAGCAUACGCCUGUAGUCCUAGCUACUUGGGAGGCUGAGGCAGGAGGAUUGCUUGAGUUCAGGAGUUGUGAGCUGCAAUGCACUAUGCCGAUUGGGUGUCCAAGGAAGUCCACCAUCAAUAUGGUGACCUCCCGGGAGCAGGGGCCACCAGAUUGCCUAAGGAGGGGUGAACUGGUCCAGCUAAGAAACAGAGCAGGUCAAAACCCCAUGCUGAUUAAAAACAUUUACAAAUGAAAAUUAAAAUUGCUAUUAGCAGACUUCUCUUCU
RNAcentral lists this signal recognition particle RNA (278 nucleotides) under Castor canadensis (American beaver). RNAcentral describes it as "Metazoan signal recognition particle RNA (ENSCCNG00000028630.1)". It matches the Rfam family "Metazoan signal recognition particle RNA". From Rfam's summary of the family: The signal recognition particle (SRP) is a universally conserved ribonucleoprotein. It is involved in the co-translational targeting of proteins to membranes. Lineage: Eukaryota; Metazoa; Chordata; Mammalia; Rodentia; Castoridae. The record is from RNAcentral.